UAGGGAAUUUUCGUCAAUGGGCGCAAGCCUGAACGAGCGAUGCCGCGUGAGUGAAGAAGGCCUUCGGUCGGUAAAGCUCUGUUGCGGGGGAAAAAAGGACAGCAUCAGGAAAUGGGUGCUGACUGAUGGUGCCCCGCCAG
Molecule: ribosomal RNA, 140 nt
Filed under: uncultured bacterium
Lineage: Bacteria
Description: partial 16S ribosomal RNA
Rfam family: Bacterial small subunit ribosomal RNA
Source: RNAcentral